UACGUAGGUGGCAAGCGUUGUCCGGAUUUACUGGGCGUAAAGGGCGCGUAGGCUGCGGGGCAAGUCGGGUGUGAAAUCUCAGAGCUCAACUCUGAAACUGCACUCGAUACUGCUUUGCUCGAGGACUGGAGAGGAGAUUGGAAUUCACGGUGUAGCAGUGAAAUGCGUAGAUAUCGUGAGGAAGACCAGUGGCGAAGGCGGAUCUCUGGACAGUUCCUGACGCUGAGGCGCGAAGGCCAGGGGAGCAAACGGG
RNAcentral lists this ribosomal RNA (253 nucleotides) under uncultured bacterium. RNAcentral describes it as "partial 16S ribosomal RNA". It matches the Rfam family "Bacterial small subunit ribosomal RNA", at positions 524 to 776 of the family's 1533-position model. The record is from RNAcentral.